RNAcentral lists this ribosomal RNA (88 nucleotides) under Beauveria bassiana. RNAcentral describes it as "partial 28S ribosomal RNA". The stretch from base 32 to 88 matches the Rfam family "Eukaryotic large subunit ribosomal RNA", at positions 1 to 57 of the family's 3401-position model. The record is from RNAcentral. Lineage: Eukaryota; Fungi; Ascomycota; Sordariomycetes; Hypocreales; Cordycipitaceae.
CCACGCCGUAAAACACCCAACUUCUGAACGUUGACCUCGAAUCAGGUAGGACUACCCGCUGAACUUAAGCAUAUCAAUAAGCGGAGGA